GUGAAUCAUCGAAUUUUUGAACGCAAAUUGCACUCUCUUCGGAGAGUAUGCCUGUUUGAGGGUCAGCCUAAAAAAAAUGGAAAUCGUUGCUGUUUCGCGGUGGCUUUCGUCGGAAAUUGGGUUAUCUUAAAUCUUUGGUUUAAGCGACUUAAAAUUUUCUUUACGAUUCCUUGACCUUUUCCAGGAUUUAUUUCUUUACACGUUUAGGUUAUGGAUUUUUUUAGGCGUGGUGGCAAUAUC
RNAcentral lists this unclassified non-coding RNA (240 nucleotides) under Glomus sp. RNAcentral's name for it is "partial contains 5.8S ribosomal RNA and internal transcribed spacer 2". The stretch from base 1 to 65 matches the Rfam family "5.8S ribosomal RNA", at positions 84 to 154 of the family's 154-position model. The record is from RNAcentral. Lineage: Eukaryota; Fungi; Glomeromycota; Glomeromycetes; Glomerales; Glomeraceae.